AGAGUUUGAUCAUGGCUCAGAUUGAACGCUGGCGGCAGGCCUAACACAUGCAAGUCGAGCGGUAGCACAGAGAGCUUGCUCUCGGGUGACGAGCGGCGGACGGGUGAGUAAUGUCUGGGAAACUGCCUGAUGGAGGGGGAUAACUACUGGAAACGGUAGCUAAUACCGCAUAACGUCGCAAGACCAAAGAGGGGGACCUUCGGGCCUCUUGCCAUCAGAUGUGCCCAGAUGGGAUUAGCUAGUAGGUGGGGUAACGGCUCACCUAGGCGACGAUCCCUAGCUGGUCUGAGAGGAUGACCAGCCACACUGGAACUGAGACACGGUCCAGACUCCUACGGGAGGCAGCAGUGGGGAAUAUUGCACAAUGGGCGCAAGCCUGAUGCAGCCAUGCCGCGUGUAUGAAGAAGGCCUUCGGGUUGUAAAGUACUUUCAGCGGGGAGGAAGGUGUUGAGGUUAAUAACCUCAGCAAUUGACGUUACCCGCAGAAGAAGCACCGGCUAACUCCGUGCCAGCAGCCGCGGUAAUACGGAGGGUGCAAGCGUUAAUCGGAAUUACUGGGCGUAAAGCGCACGCAGGCGGUCUGUCAAGUCGGAUGUGAAAUCCCCGGGCUCAACCUGGGAACUGCAUUCGAAACUGGCAGGCUAGAGUCUUGUAGAGGGGGGUAGAAUUCCAGGUGUAGCGGUGAAAUGCGUAGAGAUCUGGAGGAAUACCGGUGGCGAAGGCGGCCCCCUGGACAAAGACUGACGCUCAGGUGCGAAAGCGUGGGGAGCAAACAGGAUUAGAUACCCUGGUAGUCCACGCCGUAAACGAUGUCGACUUGGAGGUUGUGCCCUUGAGGCGUGGCUUCCGGAGCUAACGCGUUAAGUCGACCGCCUGGGGAGUACGGCCGCAAGGUUAAAACUCAAAUGAAUUGACGGGGGCCCGCACAAGCGGUGGAGCAUGUGGUUUAAUUCGAUGCAACGCGAAGAACCUUACCUACUCUUGACAUCCAGAGAACUUUCCAGAGAUGGAUUGGUGCCUUCGGGAACUCUGAGACAGGUGCUGCAUGGCUGUCGUCAGCUCGUGUUGUGAAAUGUUGGGUUAAGUCCCGCAACGAGCGCAACCCUUAUCCUUUGUUGCCAGCGGUUAGGCCGGGAACUCAAAGGAGACUGCCAGUGAUAAACUGGAGGAAGGUGGGGAUGACGUCAAGUCAUCAUGGCCCUUACGAGUAGGGCUACACACGUGCUACAAUGGCGCAUACAAAGAGAAGCGACCUCGCGAGAGCAAGCGGACCUCAUAAAGUGCGUCGUAGUCCGGAUUGGAGUCUGCAACUCGACUCCAUGAAGUCGGAAUCGCUAGUAAUCGUAGAUCAGAAUGCUACGGUGAAUACGUUCCCGGGCCUUGUACACACCGCCCGUCACACCAUGGGAGUGGGUUGCAAAAGAAGUAGGUAGCUUAACCUUCGGGAGGGCGCUUACCACUUUGUGAUUCAUGACUGGGGUGAAGUCGUAACAAGGUAACCGUAGGGGAACCUGCGGUUGGAUCACCU
This 1528-nucleotide ribosomal RNA is filed under the name Enterobacter sp. HK169. RNAcentral's name for it is "bacterial SSU rRNA". It matches the Rfam family "Bacterial small subunit ribosomal RNA". Lineage: Bacteria; Pseudomonadati; Pseudomonadota; Gammaproteobacteria; Enterobacterales; Enterobacteriaceae. The record is from RNAcentral.